Non-coding RNA from Merluccius polli (Benguela hake), 139 nucleotides. NCBI's taxonomy places the organism in Eukaryota, Metazoa, Chordata, Actinopteri, Gadiformes, Merlucciidae. The record is from the annotation of a GenBank genome assembly.
GUUGUAGCUCAGUGGUAGAGCUCAUGCUUUGCAUGAGGCCCCGGGUUCAAUCUGCAGCAUCUCCAGUAAUGUUUUCCAAUAUGGUCUACAGUUACAAUUCCUGGUAGGGGCCCGGGUUCGAUUCCCGGUAUGGAAACUA